This is a long non-coding RNA of Hemicordylus capensis (graceful crag lizard), 2722 nucleotides long. RefSeq lists it as uncharacterized. The record is from RefSeq and is a predicted model, not a curated record. The transcript is spliced from 2 exons. Lineage: Eukaryota; Metazoa; Chordata; Lepidosauria; Squamata; Cordylidae.
CUCUAAACCCCUGCAGCUGGUAACUAGGCAAUGGUCUGGAAUGCAGUAAAUAGAAUGGAAAAUGGAAAUUGCAUGGAUUCUUGAUGUCAUACUUAUGCAGAUUCUUACCCAAUUCCAAGGCCUAUGGAGGGUUCUUAAAACAUGCAAGAUUCAUCCUUCCGCUUGAAGGGUUUAAUCUAAAUUAUCUAUGUACAACAGGUUUAUUCCCCUCUAGGCACAAGAAAUAAUUAUCGCUCCUUCUCUCUUGCCAUUUUACACAUGAGGCUGUCCUGUCAAUUCCUCACCUAUCAAGGCUGGACUUGUCAGACCUCCUUAAGAUACCUCCCACCGAUGCUCUGGUGGUCACCCUACCGUUGGGCUCCCUCCUACCAAGGGAUGGAGAAGUCAUACUGAAAGACCCAACUGAUAAAAGGCUUGAACCUGCCCUCUACCAUUCUCAUGAGGCCUCUUCCCUGGUGAUUCGCUCUUCAGCUGCAUCUUCCUUGCUGGCCAGGGCCUCCAUUCUUUGGCUAGAUGACCUCCUCCAUGACCCUCCGGCUGAUCCAAACCGAACAAAUCUUGCUAAAAAUCCAGAAGGCUCAGGCAUUUGUGGCCCAAGCCACAUUGAAUUCCAUUCACUUUGCCUCCUGCUCCUCCACAUUGGCAGUGGUGGCUCACCAUAACUUGUGGCUGAAGCACUGGCAGGUUGAUGCCACUUCAAGAGGAAACCUGGCCUCAGUUCCCUUUGAUGGCACAAAGCUUUUCGGGGAGGAUGCACUGAAAGAUAUACUCAUAGAGACGAAGAACAAAUGCAAGGCCUGCCGCAAGCCUGAGUGGGUGCUGUUGAGAAAGCCAUUUCAGUCCUUUCGUCCCUUUGGAGGACCUUUUCAACCACAGGGCAGGGACUUCAAGCCCCAGCACCCCUUCUGGAACCGACUCCGCAAUUCCAACAGACCAUUCAGCCAGCCAUGCCAAGCCUUCAACAGCCCUUCUAGAGCCACAGAACAAUCUUGACUCCCGGCCUCCAACCCUAGGCAGAUGCAUUUCAGUGCAUUUCCACGCUUGGGAGCUCACCACUAUGGACCAGAGGGUCCUAACAUCCAUAGCAGAAGGUUACAAAAUAGAACUAGAUGCCAACCCACCCAACUGCCUCCUCCCCACCCUGAUGUCUCGCUCACAUUCCAAACACUCAGGCCUACUAGCAGCAAUUUACCAUCUAUUGGAAAUGGGUGUCAUAGAACAAGUACCACCAUCCCAACAAAGCAAAGGCAUCAAUGCUACCUUGUUCACUGUCCCACGAAAGGACGGGUCAUUGAAGGUGGGUCUCCUCAAAUUCCUCAACUGGUCAAGUGAAGGAAGAUCCAGAUGGAAUCUCUCCAAUAAAGCCUACUUACAUGUCCCCAUACAUCAAUCCAGCUGAUGACUACUGCGCUUCAGAUAUGCUGGGGUACAUUACCAAUACAAAGCACUCCCAUUUGGGCUAUCCUCGGCACCCCACAUAUUUACAAAGACUCUAGCACCUGUGGUGGCACACCUCUGGCUGAGGGGCAUACAGAUAUUUGGUGCUAUCCUUCGGCAGCUGUCUGGAAGCAGCAACUCAGGUUGCCAGGUAUUUGCCUGUCCUCCCUGGUGCCGAAAUAGUGUGUCUGCCAUCCUCACCUGCCUAUCAGAGGCAAACAGCAGGCUGGAUUAAAAGGUGCUUGCUGGAUGGUUCUGUUAAAGCUACAUGCAGAAUUACAAUUAACUUUCCAUCCUUCGGUGCAUAUAACUUUUUUGGUGUAUACAUCCCACUAUAUUCGGAUUACAUGGGUACAACAUAGCAUGAUGGGCAAUACUCGGGUACAUUGUCCCUUCCCCUUUUCCCCAGCCCAAAUUUUGAGCAUGUACAGAAGCAACAGUUCAGAAAUGCUGCCUGAGAAAGGCUACAGUAGCAGCUGCCACAGAAUUAAGGAAAGGAACUGCUCCUGCAGCAUCUAAACAAUGCUGCCUCAAAAGAGCAGGCCUGGAGCAGCAAUGGGAAUUUCUGGUACUCUUUAGUCCCCCUCCUGAUGUCCGAUGUCCAUGCUUACAGCAUUUGUCUCUGCAAUCAAAUGCCACAGGUGUGGUCAGAUUAUGCCCAUGUUGGGAAGCCUGGUGUGCUCCAGUCUUCUGAUCAGAGGAAGAAUCUGUUCAUGCUGACCGAUAUGUUGGAACCAAUCUGUCAAUUUGACUCUGCAGACAAACACUCUAAGCACAGGAUGUGAGAGUUUUGAACGUGACCGGGCCAGGGUAGGGCUUGCACUUACACAGAGGGCUACACUCUCAGACUAACCAGAGGCAGAGUGAACAGGCAGCAUGGCUGCAUCUGACCUAAUGGCUUCAGAACAUUAUUGCUGUCCUUACAUAAGAACAGCCCUGCUGGAUCAGGCCCAAGGCCCAUCUAGACCAGCGUCUUGUUUCACACAGUGGCCCACAAGAUGCUGCUGGAAGCCUACAGGCAGGAGUUGAGGGCAUGCCUUCUCUCCUGCUAUUACUCCCCUGCAAAUGGUAUUCAGAGGCAUCCUGUGUCUGAGGCUGGAGGUGGCCUAUAGUCCUUCUUUGUCUUUUGAGAGGUUCUUUCCUUUCUCUAAUAGCUGUGUAUUUUGUGUAUUUUGAUGAUUGUUUUGAUGAUUGGUUGUGAACUGCCUCGAGUUCAAUAUUACAUUGAAAAGGUGGGAAAUAAAUGUGUUAAUAAAAUAAAUGUUGGAAAAAGCAAACCUUAAAA